This 466-nucleotide ribosomal RNA is filed under the name uncultured bacterium. RNAcentral describes it as "partial 16S ribosomal RNA". It matches the Rfam family "Bacterial small subunit ribosomal RNA", at positions 28 to 507 of the family's 1533-position model. The record is from RNAcentral.
GACGAACGCUGGCGGCGUGCUUAACACAUGCAAGUCGAACGGAAAGGCCCAGCUUUCUGGGUGCUCGCGUGGCGCACGCGUGUGUAACACGUGGGUUUACUGCCCUCUACUUUUUGGUAAGCCUGGGGAACUCUGUCUAAUACCCGGGAUGAUCAACUGUCGCACGUGGGUUGGUUGAGAGCGUUUGCGGUUGGGGAUGGGCCCGCGGCGUAUCAGCUUGUUGGUGGGGUAAUGGCUUACCAAGGCGACGACGGGUAGCCGACCUGAGAGGGUGAUCGGCCACACUGGGACUGAGACACGGCCCAGACUCCUACGGGAGGCAGCAGUGGGGAAUAUUGCACAAUGGGCGGAAGCCUGAUGCAGCGACGCCGCGUGAGGGAUGACGGCCUUCGGGUUGUAAACCGCUUUCGCCAGGGACGAAGCGUGAGUGACGGUAACUGGAGAAGAAGCACCGGCUAACUACGUG